RNAcentral lists this long non-coding RNA (1927 nucleotides) under Mytilus galloprovincialis (Mediterranean mussel). Lineage: Eukaryota; Metazoa; Mollusca; Bivalvia; Mytilida; Mytilidae. The record is from RNAcentral.
AAAGAACAUAAAUUGCAUAAAUCACAGCUUGACUUGACUCUUCAAAAUGUAUUAAAUUUGAAAAAAAAAACACAUUUUUCAAAACCAAAAUGUGCCAUUAUUAGCCAAUAUCCAUUGAAUUAGUUCUCAAGAAUGACAAACUAGAUCACAAUGGGAAAUAUCAGUUUUAAUAGGGUACAAUACUAUUCAGUAUUGUCAUAUAUUUACUCUGGAUUGCAAAAACUUGGUUAAUUAACAGAAAAUUAAAAAAUAUAUGCAUUUGUAGAAAAAAGGAUUAAAACCAAUAUCAGCAUUAAUAAAAUUUCACAGCAUUUGAAAUUAUCAUUAAAAAUUCAUUGUUUAUUUUAAGGUCAACAUAACCGUGUUGUUUUGUUGUCUAUUCUGUUUUAAAGGUAAAUUUAUUGUUAGUAAAAAAUUAAAUGGUGUACCAUAUAUAUAUAUGUUGUAAGCAAAAAAUAAUUUUAUACUUUAUAUGGUCUUUGUUUUCUUUUAUUUUAUUGAAUUUAAAUUUAAAGCUAGUUUUAAUUAUGGGAAUUGGUUGGGAAUGGUGGUUUUAAAAAGUUUGAACUCUUAUCCCUGCAUUUUCUUAAAUUAUUUUCGUUAAUUAAAUUAAAUCGUUAAUUAUUUCUUCCAACCAUACUGACAUUCCUUUGUGCUAUUAUUGUUAUGAAAUUAUUCCUCCCAUUUCAGAAUGUAACCCCUUCUAUUAUCUUAUCGACUUUAUUCAUUUUUCAAUGGAAUUUUCCCCAUUAAUGAAAAAAAUGGACAAAACAUUAUUGACGUUAUUAAGCCAACUAUAUGAUUUUAAAUAUGCAAGAUUAAUUUAAUUUUACAAUAACAUUUGAAAAACCCUUCUUUUGUGAUGAAUUCUGGGUAUAUAUUUGAAAAUUUACACUAAGUUUGUAAUACAAAUAUUUAAAAAUGUUGUCUGAUUUAAUCUAAUAUUAAGUAUGAAAGUUGCCUCUCUGAACAAGCAACUCUAUAUAGAAAGUUUUACGAUGAAAUGUUUGGAAAAAAACAGAAGGUAAAGUCUUUAAAACUCUUCUUUGUCAUCAUUUUCAUGCCAGUAGUAAACAAGAUGUCUUCGUAAUGCUUUUCAUUUUUCUUGUGUUUUUUCGUCCAAAUGAAAAUUGUUUUGAAGUCACUUGAUUAUAUAGAACCUCUUUUGUUUCUGUUUAAUAUAAUAAAUUAUUUAAUGAAUUUGAGAGGUCAAUUGUCAGCACUUUUAAUUCAUCAAUCUGCCUCUUCUCACAGAUAGAUUAGAGCCAAGAUAAAAGGGGAUACCUGAUAUAUCAAUAGAAUGUCAUUACAUAAUUUGAAAUUUAAUGAUACUUCAUUGUUUGCACGGUAUCUAUAAUGUUCAAAGUCAAUCACAUCUUUUUGGUGCAGGCUUCUAAAUUUUACCCAGGAUGCACUUGUUCAUUGGUUUUGAAGAUAUUGUAGUGUUCUUCAUUUACGAAAGUAUUUCAAAAUUGUCAAGAAACUGUAAUUAACCGUAGAAAAUAGUGUACAAUAUUAACAACCAAUAAAUGUACCUUAUUUAGUAACAUCAAUGUUGUGAAAUUAGAAAUACCUCCUAGUAACCAUCUUUAGUGCUUGAAAUUUGUUGUUCAUCACAUGCUAUUUUGUACAUCAUUUGAUUGGUUGUCUCCGUCCUUUUGCCAUAUUAUGUUGGUGAGCUUUCACGUGAAAAUGUUAGUUAAAAUGUGUUCCUUAGAGAAAUUGUUAGACAUAACAUAUAAUUCCAACUAUGUAUUCAUUUUUUGGAUGGCUUUUUAUAUGUAUUUCAUAUCACAUAUUAAUAAAUUGGCAUGAUAAAUAACAAUGUUUAUUCCAUAUAAGUAUUAUUUUAGUAGGUUUUUCUAUAUGAAUUGGAUUUUAAAUAAAAAAGCAUAUUCACCUGGAGAAAAGUGUUAUUCACCGCGCU